UACGUAGGGGGCAAGCGUUGUCCGGAAUCAUUGGGCGUAAAGAGCGCGUAGGCGGUCCGGUAAGUCCGCUCUGAAAGUCCGGGGCUCAACCCCGGGAGGCGGGCGGAUACUGUCGGGCUAGAGUCCGGAAGAGGCGAGUGGAAUUCCUGGUGUAGCGGUGAAAUGCGUAGAGAUCGGGAGGAACACCAGUGGCGAAGGCGGCUACCUGGACCAGCACUGACACUGAGGCACGAAAGCGUGGGGAGCAAACAGG
Molecule: ribosomal RNA, 253 nt
Filed under: uncultured bacterium
Lineage: Bacteria
Description: partial 16S ribosomal RNA
Rfam family: Bacterial small subunit ribosomal RNA
Source: RNAcentral